Molecule: transfer RNA, 74 nt
Filed under: Canis lupus familiaris (dog)
Lineage: Eukaryota; Metazoa; Chordata; Mammalia; Carnivora; Canidae
Also listed under: 1 other name
Rfam family: tRNA
About the family: Transfer RNA (tRNA) molecules are approximately 80 nucleotides in length. Their secondary structure includes four short double-helical elements and three loops (D, anti-codon, and T loops).
Source: Rfam by way of RNAcentral
GCCUGACUGGCUUAGUUGGUAGAGGAUGUGACUUCUUGAUCUCAGGGUCAUGAGUUCAAACCCCAUGUUGGGUG